RNAcentral lists this ribosomal RNA (660 nucleotides) under Cancer productus (red rock crab). RNAcentral describes it as "SSU rRNA". It matches the Rfam family "Eukaryotic small subunit ribosomal RNA", at positions 625 to 1273 of the family's 1831-position model. The record is from RNAcentral. Lineage: Eukaryota; Metazoa; Arthropoda; Malacostraca; Decapoda; Cancridae.
AGCUCGUAGUUGGAUUUCAGUUCUGGACUGACGGUUCACCGCCCGGUGCAUACUGUCACGCUCCGAACAGCCACAACAGCCCGCUGGCUCGCACGGGGUGCUCUUCAUCGAGUGUCCCGCGUGGCCGGCAGAGUUUACUUUGAAAAAAUUAGAGUGCUCAAAGCAGGCUACACUGACGGCCUGAAUGCCUAUGCAUGGAAUAAUGGAAUAGGACCUCGGUUCUAUUUUGUCGGUUUUCUGAACCCGAGGUAAUGACUAAUAGGAACAGGCGGGGGCAUUCGUAUUGCGACGCUAGAGGUGAAAUUCUUGGACCGUCGCAAGACGAACUACUGCGAAAGCAUUUGCCAAGGAUGUUUUCAUUAAUCAAGAACGAAAGUUAGAGGUUCGAAGGCGAUCAGAUACCGCCCUAGUUCUAACCAUAAACGAUGCUGACCAGCGAUCCGCCGGCGUUAUUCCCAUGACCCGGCGGGCAGCUUCCGGGAAACCAAAGUCUUUGGGUUCCGGGGGAAGUAUGGUUGCAAAGCUGAAACUUAAAGGAAUUGACGGAAGGGCACCACCAGGAGUGGAGCCUGCGGCUUAAUUUGACUCAACACGGGGAACCUCACCAGGCCCAGACACCGGAAGGAUUGACAGAUUGAGAGCUCUUUCUCGAUUCGGUGG